Molecule: ribosomal RNA, 255 nt
Filed under: uncultured bacterium
Lineage: Bacteria
Description: partial 16S ribosomal RNA
Rfam family: Bacterial small subunit ribosomal RNA
Source: RNAcentral
CAGAGGGUGCAAGCGUUGUUCGGAAUUAUUGGGCGUAAAGGGCGCGUAGGCGGUCUUGAAAGUCGGAUGUGAAAGCCCAGGGCUCAACCUUGGAAGUGCAUUCGAAACUGCAAGACUAGAGUUCACGGAGAGGGUGGUGGAAUUCCCAGUGUAGAGGUGAAAUUCGUAGAUAUUGGGAGGAACACCAGUGGCGAAGGCGACCACCUGGACGGAAACUGACGCUGAGGCGCGAGAGCGUGGGUAGCAAACAGGAUU